This 506-nucleotide ribosomal RNA is filed under the name uncultured bacterium. RNAcentral's name for it is "partial 16S ribosomal RNA". It matches the Rfam family "Bacterial small subunit ribosomal RNA", at positions 29 to 523 of the family's 1533-position model. The record is from RNAcentral.
AGUGAACGCUGGCGGUAGGCCUAACACAUGCAAGUCGAACGGCAGCACAGGAGAGCUUGCUCUCUGGGUGGCGAGUGGCGGACGGGUGAGGAAUACAUCGGAAUCUCCUUUUUCGUGGGGGAUAACGUAGGGAAGCUUACGCUAAUACCGCAUACGACCUACGGGUGAAAGCAGGGGACUUUCUGGCCUUGCGCGAUUGAAUGAGCCGAUGUCGGAUUGGCUAGUUGGCGGGGUAAAGGCCCACCAAGGCGACGAUCCGUAGCUGGUCUGAGAGGAUGAUCAGCCACACUGGAACUGAGACACGGUCCAGACUCCUACGGGAGGCAGCAGUGGGGAAUAUUGGAGAAUGGGGGCAAGCCGGAUCCAGCCAUACCGCGUGGGUGAAGAAGGCCUUCUGGUUGUAAAGCCCUUUUGUUGGGAAAGAAAUCCAGCUGGCUAAUACCCGGUUGGGAUGACGGUACCCAAAGAAUAAGCACCGGCUAACUUCGUGCCAGCCGCCGCGGUAA